RNAcentral lists this ribosomal RNA (582 nucleotides) under Campylobacter jejuni. RNAcentral's name for it is "partial 23S ribosomal RNA". It matches the Rfam family "Bacterial large subunit ribosomal RNA", at positions 451 to 1030 of the family's 2925-position model. The record is from RNAcentral. Lineage: Bacteria; Pseudomonadati; Campylobacterota; Epsilonproteobacteria; Campylobacterales; Campylobacteraceae.
GACCACGAUCCAACCCUAAAUACUAAUACCAGAUCGAUAGUGCACAAGUACCGUGAGGGAAAGGUGAAAAGAACUGAGGUGAUCAGAGUGAAAUAGAACCUGAAACCAUUUGCUUACAAUCAUUCAGAGCACUAUGUAGCAAUACAGUGUGAUGGACUGCCUUUUGCAUAAUGAGCCUGCGAGUUGUGGUGUCUGGCAAGGUUAAGCAAACGCGAAGCCGUAGCGAAAGCGAGUCUGAAUAGGGCGCUUAGUCAGAUGCUGCAGACCCGAAACGAAGUGAUCUAUCCAUGAGCAAGUUGAAGCUAGUGUAAGAACUAGUGGAGGACUGAACCCAUAGGCGUUGAAAAGCCCCGGGAUGACUUGUGGAUAGGGGUGAAAGGCCAAUCAAACUUCGUGAUAGCUGGUUCUCUCCGAAAUAUAUUUAGGUAUAGCGUUGUGUCGUAAUAUAAGGGGGUAGAGCACUGAAUGGGCUAGGGCAUACACCAAUGUACCAAACCCUAUCAAACUCCGAAUACCUUAUAUGUAAUCACAGCAGUCAGGCGGCGAGUGAUAAAAUCCGUCGUCAAGAGGGAAACAACCCAG